This 253-nucleotide ribosomal RNA is filed under the name uncultured bacterium. Its description in RNAcentral is "partial 16S ribosomal RNA". It matches the Rfam family "Bacterial small subunit ribosomal RNA", at positions 524 to 776 of the family's 1533-position model. The record is from RNAcentral.
UACGUAGGGACCGAGCGUUGUCCGGAAUCAUUGGGCGUAAAGAGCUCGUAGGCGGCUUGUCGCGUCGGAUGUGAAAGCCCGGGGCUUAACUCCGGGUCUGCAUUCGAUACGGGCAGGCUAGAGUUCGGUAGGGGAGAUCGGAAUUCCUGGUGUAGCGGUGAAAUGCGCAGAUAUCAGGAGGAACACCGGUGGCGAAGGCGGAUCUCUGGGCCGAUACUGACGCUGAGGAGCGAAAGCGUGGGGAGCGAACAGG